Molecule: long non-coding RNA, 23552 nt
Filed under: Coffea arabica (coffee)
Lineage: Eukaryota; Viridiplantae; Streptophyta; Magnoliopsida; Gentianales; Rubiaceae
Description: long non-coding RNA (CARA_LNC003653)
Source: RNAcentral
UUUUUUUUUUUUUUUUUUUUGUGGGGUUUUUCUCUUUUUCUCAAAAACUAUUUUUUUUUCGCGGAGUCUACAUUAAAAAUAAAACUCUGAAAAUAACUAUAAAAAUACACCUAAAAAUAAUGCAAAAAAUUAAAUUUAAAAAACUCCCAUCUUUAUUCUUCCACACACUAUCUACCACCACUACUCAUCGCCCUCCGCCACUGCCGCCACACCUCCAUUCUCCACUGCCACCACCACCCUCACCCCUCCUCCCCGUCCUUUCUCCUCUCCCAUUUCCCUCCUCCCUCUUACCCUCCCCUCUCCCCUGGCCCAACCUGCAACUAGAUCGCCGGUUGCAACCAAUUACCGGGGGAGGGGAGAGGAGGAAGAUGCGGGGGAAGGGAAGGGAGGUGAGAAGGGAGAAGGAGGGAGGAGGGGAGGGGAGAGGAGGGAGGAGGAAGCUAGAGGGAGGAGAGGAGAAAGAGGUGGAGGAGAGAGAGGUGGUGGCAGUGGCAUAGGGUGAUGGGUGGUUCUUUAAUAAAUUUUAAAUUUUAAAAACAUCCCCCAAUACAUUUAAAAUGUCAAAUUUCUCACAUACACUAUUAUAGUAAAAUUUUAAAAAAUGUCUCCAACAACAUCUAAUUCAUACGAGCAUCACAGAUAUUUUGUGGACAAAUAACCUCAGCGGAGGUGGUGGUACGGGUUAAUGUGAAACGGCACUAGAAAACUAGUAGCUGAAGCAGCCCACCAAGCCAAGGGACUUUCGUUGCAAAUUACAUACCCCCUCCAUGAAGAUAGGCUUAUUUUCUUAUUGUGUUUGUCCCAAAUUAUAGAUUUAUUUCCUUUUUUAAAGAGUAGUUACCAACAUGUCCAUAUUUAAUGUACAUAAUUAUUAUAAAUUUUUGAAUAUGUUAGUUACCUUCUAUUGACUCCAAAUUGAAAAGUUUGAUUUGUUUAGCAAUUUUAAUUUUGUUGUUCAUUUCAGUCAAAUAUGUAACAUUAACUAAAUUGACUCUUGCAUUGAGAAACCAAAGUACUCUAAGUUUCAGGAGCAAUAUAGUAAUAUGUACCUCUAACUUUGAAUGAAUGAUCUAAUAUUAACAAGGGAUAUUUGAGUAAAGUAUCAACAAAGAAUAAUUGUUGCAAUUAUAUUAACUAAAUUUCUUAAUUUGUGUGAAAAAAAUAAACCUAUCUUUAUGGGACGGUGGAAAAUUAUAUCAGUAGUUUUGUGAACACGAAAAAUGUAGCAUCACACGUACUGCUAGUUCGAGAUUUGCAGACCACUUUGGCAACGUAUGGUCACUUUCCAGCUGCUACGAUGCUAACAUCUACCAACUUUUGGAGAGUCAUUCAAUUAAUCCAAAUUUCACAUCUGUGGCCUCUCUUAUCUUGUACCCGCCCUGUUCCCUGAUAACCACAGCGUCAAUACCCCACUAACUCCAUCACUCGUCGCUCCUGUCACCCUUCAUUAGAAAACGGGAGAUAUAAACACUCGUUGAUUGAUUCAAAUUCAAAUCCCUUUCAUUUCCCAUCCCUAGCUUCCCCCAUCUACUGCCUCGUUGUUCUAGAGUUACUUUUCAAGCAAAUUUUUCAUUUCUUUCUUAGUUGCAAUUAUCACUAUUUUCUAAGCAAAUAAUUUAUUUCAUUUUAUUAACACAAAAAAGAAAAUAAAAAUUAGGAGGGGAACUGAAUUUAACGCAAAUAAUUAAUUCAUUUAGAAAUUUUUUGAAUUCAGCGUGUUUGACAACGGAAAUGCCUUAUCCGUUAAUAUAUUAAGCACAGCUUAAUUUGUAUACAAACUUUUAAAUGAAAAAAUUUCACUAAAUUUUCUGAAUUGAUGACACGUACUAUAACUUUCAUACAUAUAGCACUCUACCAUACGUGCUUUUGCACAAAGUAUACAUGUGUUCGCUUUCUAUUCACACACACACACACACGCAUGCAAAUAUGCACCUCUCAUGCACAGAUACAUACACUUAAACACCAUUUCUAAAUUAUUUCAUUAUUUUCUGGCUCUCUCUCACAUAUAAACUUUUCUUUCUUUAUAAAUACAUAAAUCAAGGCAAUUUUUUUAAAGACAAAAUACGUAUAUUUUUGUGAUAUUUCAAUUCAGCAUUAUGAUUCAGUUAAUUAUCAAACGGAUGUAAUUUAAUUCAUUCAAUAAUUUAAUACUUUCAGUACUUACUUUUCAAAUUUCAGAAUUCACACUUCAAACUUCACACUUAUCAAACGGGCCCUUAAUCUUAUGAUGACCAAGCUUCUUUUUCUUCAUAGAAUCUUGCACCAUGGGAAAUUCAUCUACAAGAGGAUUUACAAUUUGCAAAGCCAGAGAACCCAAAAUUAUAUAAUCUAAGACUAGUUUAACAGGGCUGUUUGAAGCUCCAAAUCGACGAGAAUUUGUUGAUGGAACUCAUUCAAAUCCUCCUGAUUCACCAAAUUUGCCUGAUCAACCUGGACAUUAAGUGACCUAUAUAUGAUCACCUGAGUAUGUGCAUCGUAGAGUUCCUUGAGAAGUUUUAGAAAUCCUGCAUUCAGCAUCUCUCGACUUUCCAAUCCCAAGUACAAGCUUGAUCUAGCCGAAACACCUUCUUGGGAUAAGCCAUCAUCUACCAGAGACAAAGUUCAAGUUUGAUGAGAAGAUGAAGCUAGAUAAAUAAUAUUCUGAUGAGCCAUUCGAGGCACCCUGUAUUGUGGACUUGCACCAAUCAUGGACAGCAAAAGGAGCUUCAACCACAUUUGUCAACCAAAAAAGAUCUUUACAAUCCUUACCUAAAUGAACAACAAAAUUGCUGCCCAUAGAUAAAAUAGUACCCACACCAAAACCCAGAAAAACUGGAUUUUGCUACAAUGAAUGCUUUCCAUCAUCAUCAGACCUGGCCCAAUAUCAGCCAGCCGAAAAGGAACAAGACGAUGCUGAACCAAAUCAGAAUGAAUAGUAGAAGAUCCAGGUAUCAAAGAAGCGAACAUGAAAGUAAAAUCAAAACUUUGGAUCAAAUGUAGUACUAUCAUCCUCGUUGUUACUGCAACAAUGUAGAAUUAGGAGAAACAUGAUGAAUCAAAGAAUUCAAACAAUCACACAGACUCAAAUCCUAAUCUACAGUGACAACGAAGUGUAAUCUAGUUGAUAAAACACUUCACGUGUAACUAAUAAAUUACAGGUGCGAGUCAUCACUAUUGAUCCUCAUGAAAUUAAAAAAAAAAAAAAAAAAAAAAAGAGCCCGUAGCUGCAAGACCCUUUCCCAAUAGGAUCAGGAUGAAAGUUUAGGAAUGUAAACCUGCUUCAAUUUAUGAUUUAUCAAUGAAUCCUUUUUAUCCUUAAUUAGCUUUAAAUUUGGAUUCUUACGGAAAAAAAAAAAUUGGUUUCCACAUAACCAAUUUUAUUGCAGAAUGUACAGAACCCUAGCCACUUUUCUUACUUAAACACGUUGCAAAAAACUACUACUAUCAUCUCCUACUUGAACAUUUACUGCUGUUUCUUGUUUGGUCUAGACAUGAAAUAAAUGACUAUUGAAAGAUCAAAUAUACAAUAAUUUAAUGACAAAUAAGUCAUUAGCACGAAAUAUAGAUGACACACAAGAUUUAAUAUGAUUCGACUCCAUCAUCAAGUCUACGUUCAUUCUUUAUUAUGAGAGAAAUACAAGAAUACAACUUAAAUUCAAAUCCAACCAUUGUAUAAUUUCUCUCACUUCAUGUAUAAAGCUAGUGUCACCCCUUUUGCGCUACUUUAUAGUAUGCCAAUUCACACCUAUUAAUAAGCUAAAUUAGUUGGUCAACACCCAAAUAAUAACGGGAAAAAUUGCUAAGUCCUAACCUACAGAAUAGGAAAUAACUCAUAAUUUCUAAAUUCAUACAAAUAGAAAAUUCUUUGGUUACUAUUUCAAGUAACUAAAUAAUAAGAAAGCUAGCUAGUUACUUCCAUAAAAAAAACCUUCCUAAAUGAAAUUGUUAAGUUCUUGAACAAAGAAUUAGGUCCUGCAUUAGUUUGAAAGAUGGAGAAAGAACGAUUAAUAUAUAAAUAAGGACCCGAGAUCUAACAACUUAAAUUUUUCGGUCAAUGUUGAGUUCCCAACUUACAUAUUGGGUUUCUUUGAUGGACUCUCUCAAGAUUUUUCUCCUUAACAGGUGGUAUCAGAGCUUUUGAUUACGAGUCUAGACUACUCGUUGGUAUCGGUGAAAAUUCUCUUUUUGGUGGUGGACUAUUGGAAUGUGGAUUUUUCUUAGAGUUGGACCGAUGAAAAUUCUCUUUUUGGUGAUGGACUGAAAUUCUAAUUACAAGUCUGGGCUACACAUUGGCACGUUGAUUUUUUUCGGAUUGGAUCGAUGAAAAUUCUUUUUUUGGUGGUAGACUGAAAUACCAUGGAGAGUGGUUGGUAUUCCAUCAGGUGCACUAUGAGUUUGGCAGGGGAUUCGAUUGACAGGGGUCCAAAAUCAAGUAGAAAAGUGGGUCUAUGAUUGUGACCUUAGGUGUUAAGGUGAGUUUGCAUUGAGUAUUAAAAUAAGUUUAGAGAAGAGGUUGUAAACUUGGGUUCAAUAUGAGGGGUUACUUAUGAAGGAGGAGAUUGUUAUGUCCAUGAGUAAAAGAUGGAGAAAAAGCAGUUAAAAUAUAAGUAAGAAGAGGAAACCUAACAGUUUAAACUUUUGGAUCAACGUUGGAUUCCUAACUUAUACAUCGGGUCUCUUUGAUGGGUUAUCUCGAGAUUUUUCUCCCUAACAUUACUAAUCCUAUCCAAAUCAUUAGCUUUCUUCCUUCGUCCUUUGGUUUCUCUUCAUUUCCUGCCUCUGUGUCGUGGUAUUUUAAUUGAGCUAGUCAGCAGUUCAGUAUGUUUCUUCGAACCUAUUGGGUUGGUUCUACUUCAGGUGGGUUUUCUAAGUCUUUUUUUUUUUUUUUGGUUACUAAAGUUUCUUGCAUUAAAAUGUUUAGAAAUUUGAUUAUGCGGCACUUCUUGCUAGAUUUCUACAGUAAAUUGAAGGAUUUUGGCCAAGGUAAAAUAGAGAUUUGAAUUUAUAUAUAAAAAAAAUUGUCACUUGAGUCAGUAUAUCUGUCAAAUAUCUGUCAAAUAGAUUGAGCUCUUCUUACGGAGAGAGUUUUAAUACAAGUUUGCUCGAUAAGGUACGCAAUUCUAUAGUUUUGAUUUUAAUUUCUCCAAAAUUUUUUGUUUUGAGUUAUUUAUGAUUGGAUUCAUUAUUCUUUUAAGGACUUUACGUUGGUGAUAUGUGUAAAUAUCAUUUCUUCCCCUUCUAUGUAGUUUGACCUUCUUUGUGUCUAUUGUAUGAAGUUACAAUAUCCUUCAAAUUGUUCAAGAUAACAAAAGUUCAAACUGUUACGUUUCCAGAAAUGGAGCCGAGUUGGGAACAAAAAAAUUGGAGCCAGCAAGUUAUAGGAGAUGGCUGAGUCAGAUGCAAUAAACGAAUUUAAACAUUAUUUCUCGAGAAUAUUGGAAAUCCAUGGGAAGCAUGGAAACAAUGAAAAGAUUCCAGGAAGCAAUUUGGCAGAUUUUAUUCCCUGGACAUUGUAGCCUCUUACUGGCCAUUUCUCAUCCUUUCCAUCUGAAUUUUUGCUUUUUAAAUAUGGAUCAUUGUGAGACGUUUCAGGUUUUCUUCUUGCUUUAGUAAAACUUCAAUAUAUGCCUUUGCAGGGUUAAUAAAAGCAUGUCUAAAAGAAAAUUUUUGGCAAGACGACAAGCAGAUUAGCACCUGCACUAAUAGAAGUGAGGAUGAUGCUGUUUAAUGUGGAGACAUACAGGCUUUGAAACUGGAACAUUGUUUUUUUUUUUUUUUGGAAUAGUUAAAAUUGGAUUUUGGAAAGAUUUAACUAGCAUAUAUAUAUAUAUAUAUAUAUAUAUAUCAGGUAGAUUUGUAAAGUUGCACAGGAUAUUUCGGGGUAAUCACAUUAUAACACUAGGAGUAAGGCGAGGGAAAAGUAAGUGGUUAUAGAGAAUAAAUCAGUGCAAUCAGGUAGUGGAAGUCGGAAGAAAGGUCCCGUGAUUUUUCAUGUUGGCAUGAAGAAGAAGAACAGACUGUUAAUCUUGAUCCUUGUCUUUUGAUGUUUACAAAACAAAUGGAUAGUACUAAUAUCUCCUCAAAGAUCCUUUCAAUUAUGAAGUAAAUCGGAUUCAAAAAUCAAGUGCAAUUAAAAGAAACAAAGUUUGUUGAAAGCUGUUGGACGCUUGUGAAGACAAGAUCGGACGUCCGAUAAUCAUUGCGCAACUUCGGACGCAUGAAGAACUCUAUCACCGGACGUCCGAAGGACAUAAGACAUUCUCCCUAGUUCACUGAUUUCGAUCAGAUGCAAGCAUCGGACGUCCGAUAGGAUCCUUCAAAUUCGACGAAAGCUGUCGGACGCUCACAAAGACAAUACCGGACGUCCGAUAGAAUUGAGAUAUUCCUUCUAACUCAUUGUCUGCUUUUGGACGCAAGCACCGGACGUCCGAUAGAAUUAAAGAAUUUCUCUCAAGCUCACUGCCAACUGUCGGACGGGAAAUUCAGACGGACCGGACGUCCGAUACUCCAAUGGCUAGUUGACUGUGCAGCUACUUUCUAUCCGUUGGAAGUUUAAUGAAGCACUUUCUUGGUCUUGUAUAAAUAGUGCAUAUCAGAAACUUCAAAUAACUUUUGCACACUAAAGAUACAAAAGAUCUAGAGUGAUUUUAGUGAGAAAAUACUCUUCAAGAAAGAUUUGUAGUCUUGGUGGUGUGAAAUUCGUUGUAAACUUUUCAUUUGUGAGUGAAUACUUCAAUAGUGUAGCUCUGUGAGGGUUGUCCUGAGAAAUAAUAAAACUUCCUAACUUGAUCGAGUGGAGCUUGGGGCAAGGAGAAAGUGAACCUUCCUUUGUACACAAGAUUGGUUGUAUUUCAUUAAUUUGAAGAAGCUUGUUCUAUAAAUUGAUCUACAUGCUCAAAAGGAGUUUGGUAGUCAAUUGGUUUGCAAUUCUUCCCUUCUUAUUUACUUAUUGUUAUCUUGUGAUAUUUAAAUUGCUUAUCUCUUCUACUCCCAAGCAAACUUAUUUUUUUACUAAUUGCUUCAUUAUAUGGUCACCUAGGAAAGAUGAUAAAUUUCAUAUUGAACAAAAAUGUGUCCAUAAUUUGAUUAGUUUUUAUAAUCAACCUAAUUUACCCCCCUCUUAGGUUGUCUUCGGGCCUUACACGGACGUUGAAUUUAAUUGAUUACAUUAAUAGUCUAAAAGAGCUGUUUUCUAUAUGUAAGUGAGUAAGUACUUUUCAUUUACUUUUAAAAUUUGCAUUAGCUACGAGUAGGAUAUUCUCCGUCCAUAUGAAUUUGCUUGUGUUUUUUUUUUAAUGAGAACGAAAUUUUAAUUGAAAAUUUUUUUAAAAAAACUAGCAUAUAUAUAUAUAUAUAUAUAUAUAUAUAUAUAUAUAUAUGUAUGUAUGUAUAUGUGUAUAUCGAUAUAUAUACAUAUAUUUUAUACAAAUAAAGAUAUAUGCAUAUAUUUUAUAUAUGCAUAUAUAUACCCUACACACAUGCACACACAUAUAUGUGUAUGUGCGUGCGUGCGUGCGUGCGCACGUGCUAGCGUGUGCGCAUGUGUUAUCCUUGCCUUUUAAAACUGAAAUAAAAAUUAUCUACCCAAAGAUUAUGCAUGUCCGCUGCUUGUGGAUAUGAUAAAUUUUGCGUAAAAGUAGAACAUGCAAUUAGUUAUUUUCUCAUAAAAAUUUGGUAGCAUCACGGAUAUUGUGACUUUGAGGUUACAUAAAUAAACAAAUAUUUAAAUUCAUUUUAGGAAAACCGCAUAAUUAUAUAAGAAUUAGGAUGUGGAUACACCUAACAUUUUAAGGAUAUAGGAAAUGGAAUAAUGAUCAAUAAAGAUGAAUUGAUAGUUGAGAAUUAUAUGUAAAUCUUCAACAUCAAAAUGUAUGUGUUGCUAUUGUCCUUUCUUUUAAUGAGUAGAUUGGGUACUUGGGUUUUACCAAUCUUGUCAACUAACUAAUUGAUCAAAUGUUAGAAUCACAGUCUCCCUCUUUACAAUAAAAUUGCUAUUAGUUAUUAAUUUCUCUCUGUUUUAACAUCUUUACGUCCUCUAAAUUAAUUGUGAUCUACUUAUAAAAAUUUAGAAUUACUUUGCCUUGCACAAUUCAUGCGGUUUUCCACUGCUAGAUUCAGAAGUCCUUAGUCAUUUAAAAAUAAUGGUUUUACUUGUUUAGUGCAUUAAUGUGUGUAGAAAUAAGAACUAUAAUAGUAUAUUUACAUGUACUGGUUAAUUGGAUCUUUCCCAGUUAACUCCCAAUGUAUCAGCAAAAAAAUAAUUAAAGAUGAGUUAGCAUGAACAAAAAUCAUUCUACAACAAACACUAGUUAUCAAUGUGUCACUAGUUGCAUAAUAUACAUUCUCAUAAACAAAUUGUAGAAAUAAAUCUCUACCCACAGGCACCAACUCCCUUACGUGUGCAAAAUGCAACAAGAAAUUACCCAUAAAAUUUUUUAAUUAACAGUAUCAUAAGCAUAAAGUUAUUAAACUGAAAAAUCUUGAACAAUGAUAAAAAUUGUUAGGAUAAGAAAAUAUUUUCAAAUUUUGUGGAGAAUUAGCAAUAAUUCUUUUUGGAAUUGAUUAAUGAAAGUCCAUUAAGGCAUCCAUUAUAAUCCUUCCUGAGAUUCAACAUAGACCUAAAGCCAUACAUUUCUUUAAUUUUUCGUACUCAGUUCACUGAAAUCCAUUUCAAAAUCAAUAAACCUACACUAAACCUUUGAUUGCUUAUGUUUAGCAUUUUUCAAAUUUCUAUUGAUGUUCAAGAAUUAAAAACAGUGCUAAGGAUAGUAUCAAUGAUAAGAGACAUAUUUUCAUUUUUUUUUCAAUAGUUUUAAAUAUGUACGUGCAAUUUACGUGGCUAUUCCAUAAGUUUUUCUUAUUUUUCCUUUAAAUAUAUGUCUUAUACCCAUUAAUUCUUACCACAAUAGGGAAUUAUAUGAGUAAGAGGUAAAAGAACAAGGGCUGCAUUCAGCAAUACCCCCAAAAUUAGGGAAGAAUAUUAUUAGUCGACGCGAGUAAUUAACAAUAUUUAAUUUUUAAGUUUAAAUUCAAAACAUGUAUAGAACUUUUCUGGUUAACCAAGUUACUACAACAGUAACCACAACCAUAGAAUAAAGCAAAAGUUUGUAUAAGAGAAAAGGAAAAUAAUCCACUAAAACUUGGUGAGUUUCAAGAGAGGUGCAACUAUUGCAAGAACUAUUUGCUAAAAGGUUUUGAAGUUUACAUCUACAAAAUCUUCUGUGGUUCUGCUUUGUUAGAUGUUAUGAUAUGUAGAUUUUACUUGAUAAAUUAGAAGAAAAAUAGGUUCCAAUUAAGUAGCAAAGACAAGUCAGAUCUAUGUCAGAGGAUGGUUGAUAUGAAAAGUUAACACAAUUAUAAGUGAUGAUGAAUUCAUAUCCAAAGUUCCAUUAGUAGUAAUUCUUUUAAAAAGUUAGACAUGCAAUUAAUUAUUUGAUUAUAGAAUUAAUUCUGGUAGCAUCUGAGAGAAAUUUGUAAUUUUGAGAGUUAUAAAUGCAAUAAAUAUCUAAAUUUAUACUCUUUAUCCCUUAAAGGUUUAACAAACUAACUAUGUAUCCAAAACAUAUCAGGUAUGCGUGUCUAAAACAAAGGGACACGGGAAAUUUUUUUUUUUUUAAAAAAAAAAGGUUAGAAAGAAUUGAUAUUUAGGAAUUAUCAAUAAUUUUCAAUAUCAAAGUUCAAGUAAUUUUCUCAUUCUACUUUCUCUUAAUGGGAAGAUUGGUAAGGUACUUGGCCUUACCAAUCUUAUGGUCUAACUAAUCGAUCUCAUGUUAGAAUCAUAAUCUCUUUCUUUCUAAAGUAAUUAUUUCUCUCUCUUUAAGAAGUUUACAUCCUCUAAAUCAAAUUUUAAUUUAAUUUAUUUAUGACUCAAGAGGUAUCUAAUCUUGUGCUCCCUCCAUCCCAUAAAGUAAGUUUUAUUAGGAUCAAUAUAUAGUUGUAUGUAAACCCAAAACAAUAGCAAGAUGAAUCAAAACGUUUGCAUGCAGGAGCUAUUGUUAAGAACGAUGAAUUACUAUUUCAUUAACAGCAUUUAACCAACCUGGCAACCAAUGAUUUCGACCCCGCAUUGGAGAUAAAAAUGCAUUGAACCCAUAUGAAAUUUUACCAUGAGUUCGAUUAGGAUUUGCUUCUCUCCAAGGUGCCAAAGGCAAGCAUAACAUCAUUAAUGAGAUAUAAUAGUUUCUUUAUGGUCUAACAUUCUUGCCAAUACAUUCUUUUCAUUUUGUUCUGGAUUGUAAUCUCUAAUGAAAAAUAUAGUUCCAUGGACAAAAUCGUCUGUUUAUGACGCAUCUUGUAAUGUAUUGGCGAUGAGUAUAUAAUGCAGUUUGAAUAGCAAAAUUUUUUGUGCUAUGAAUGAAUAUACAGGUAAAGAGUACAUGUAUUGAGUUAUCAAGGAAGUAAUAAUACCAAAAGAAGUUACAGCAAAACUUAAUUAAAAAUGAAGUGAAUUAUUAAUUGUAUAACAAUGACCCUCUGCUCCGCGUCCCAAUUAGGGGUGGCAAUUUUCGACACGACCUGAAAGCACGACACGAACCUAACACGAAAUUAAUGGCUUUGGGUUGAGGUUUCGGGAGUUCGGGUCAGAAUCGGGUUGAACCCGAUGAACCCGAAAAGAAAGCAGGUCGAUUUCGGGUCAACCCGUGGUGACCUGAUAUGACCCGAUAUGACCCGUUUACGAAUUAAAAAUAAUUUAAUAAACAUAAAAAUAAUUUUAUCUAACUAAACUAAGUUAUUCUUUUUUUCCAAAGGCAUUAAUUACUUAAUCCUAAAUGAAUUUAUUUAAUUUGUGUGAAGUUGAAAUUAUUAUAUUUGGAUAAAUAUUAUUUUUUGCUUUUAUACUGUUUUAAUUUAUUUUAUAUUUUGUUUGGGAUAAAACACUUUUACGGUGUUUAAUUUAUUUUAGAUUUGGUUUGGAAUUACUUAUUUUAAAUUUUUAUUACUUGAUUAUGUAAUUAGUUUUGCGAGAAAUUGAUUUUAUUAAAAAUUACAGUAAUAAAUUAAAAUUAAGUUUCGAGUUAUUUCGGGUCGACCCGCCAACCCGAAAUUUUCGGGUUCGGGUCAGCAUACCUGAUCCGUUACGGGUUGACGGGUCGGGUUCGGGUCAACAGAUUUUCUGACGGGUCGGGUCAGGAUCCGACCCGCCAACCUGAUUUAGACCCGAUUGCCAUCCCUAGUCCCAAUCAUCUCUUGAAGGAAUAUGUAUAUCUAAAAGGUCGAAACAACUAAAGAUUUAGACCAUCACGUACUAUUAAAUUUCAAAACUAUCGUUUGUAUUUUUCACAUGAUAAGAUGUAUUUUAUGGACAAAAUAAUAUAGUAAAAAGUCACAAACAAAUAAAUAAGGGAGUGUCAAUAACAUUUCUCUUGUUCCUAUUUUGCAUUUCAUUUUUUUUUUCUUUCUCGUACUACUACAAUACAUUUCCUAAUUUUAUACCAUUUGUAAGUUAUGCAAUGAAGUUUCCAUGAAUUGGCACAUUAACCCUGGGCAGAUUUUAACAAACUGACUAUUAUACCACUUCUGUGACGUGAAAAUCAAGUGGGAUUAAAUUAAAUUAAAUUAAAUAGUUUAGUUGCUGUAUUGACAAAUUUUUCCUCGUACAAAAGUUUCCUUUAUUUUAGUUGGGGAACCUCAGCUGCUGCCGGCUAUCGGCGAAGACCACCAGAUUGAGUACCACCUAUUCCUACUGAUUUUGCUCCGCCAGAAUCUUCAAUUUCCCUUGAACCCAAAAGAUUAUAUAUAUAGCAAAAUGCGUUGGUCCCCUUUUCUGGGGAUCCCACUUGUCAUUGCUCUCAUAUCUUUUCUCUUCUUCAAGAUUUUUCCGCUCAGCUCAUUGAUUAGCAGCCCACCACCAUUACAGCCUGUAAAGAAUUUCUGGGUUUUUGUUACUUUUUUUUGGGUUUGAUCAGUAUUCUUGUUCAAAAAGAUGCAUAAAAAUGCUGUCUUGAUGUUGAUUUCUUGUGCAGAGACUAUUCAGUGCAGAAGAGCUGUCUUUUUACAAUGGCUCUGAUCCUCAGCUGCCCAUAUACCUUGCCAUUGUUGGGUAAUUAAUUAAUCUCCUUUUUCUCCGGUUGAUCAAAUUUCUAUUAGUUCUUGUGUUUUGUUGAGUUUUUUAUGGUUGGUUUUGUUGGGAAUUAAUCAAAAUCAGGUCAGUGUUCGAUGUAACAAAAGGAAAGAGUCAUUACGGUGCUGGAGGGGGUUACAAUCAUUUUGCUGGAAGGUAUAUUUAUUUUACAUUUUGUGUUUCAUAUUCUUGAUUCUAUAAUUUGCUAUGUUGAAUUAGUAGUUUUUCAACUUGUUACUGUAUUAUCCAAUUGCAUAUUUUGGCUCGAGUCGUCAAUCUGUUCAAAAUAUUCAAGUGUAGAAGCUGUAUGAGAUUGAUGCAUAUGACAUUUUUAGUAUGUUUGAAUUCGCUUUGCUACUGUUCUUGGUGUGUGUACUAAGACCUUUCGCUCUGAAAAUUCUUUUAUGUAGGGAUGCUUCUAGGGCAUUUGUUUCGGGAAAUUUUACAGGUAUAUAGUUUGUUAAGUAACAAUUUAAUAACUUUGUUGCUCUGAGGUGUACAUGUUUGUAAGUUGAGAAGGCCUUUGAUUUGAACAGUGGUCGUGGAAAUUUAGCCGCUAGGUUAUUGAUGUGGUGAGUUAGGCGAAACAAAUUUUGGCAUUCAUUUGAUCUGCUACUUGGUAAGAUACUGGAGUUCUGCAAUGAAUUCUGAGUCUAAAUUUACAAUCUGUGUGGGUUAGAACUUAACCCAGAAAUGUAAAUGACUUAGGGAAUGGAGGUUGGAGUUGCACAUAAGGCAUUUACAAAAGGCAUUGUUUUCAAUUGAGCUUGACUUUUCUCAUAUUAUUUUACUUUUCGCAGACAUAAGUCAAAUUCUUAUGAUUAAAUUCUCAUUGCAGAGAUCUGUUUGGAGUAGUGAUUUUGUUCUUUCCUGUCCAUAAAACUUCAAAAGCAACAUGCUUUUGUAGUUCAUUCUGUCUAUAUGUAAGUGUGUUUAAUAAUUAUGAAAAGGAAUUUGUUGAUUACAAUGAUCUGACCACAUUAACAGAAUUGCUACAUUAGUCCAAGGCUGUCAUUAUGGCAAAUUAGUCCUAUUUCUUUCCUAUACAUCAUCUUUUUUUCAUCAAAUAUUUGAAUAUAGAUUCUUGAAUAGUACUGGAGGAGUAACCAGGAUGGGUAUUUAUUGAAGUUACUAAUGUGUGUGACACCUGUAGAACACUGUAUUCCAAAGUUCAUUUUGUAUAUAUCCAGCAUGGUUGCAUGCAUAUGCUAUAACUUUCCAACUUAUUUAGGCCCAAAAAAUUGAUGUGAUGUUUCUUUAGGCAAAAUUAGUGCACGCCUGUUGCUACCAAAAUUGCAGGAAUUUGGGUGGUCUGCAAUGGCAUCCAUUUUCCAUUGCAUCACUACCACUGUGAAUUUUGGGUGUGAAAUUCUUAUCUUUCCUAUGCUCAAUUCCAGUUUUUAUUUCUUGUUGAUUAUUGCUCGAGUUACUUGUGCGCUUCUUUUCCUUUUUGUGAAUUACCUAUCAUUUAUGCUCAGGGGAUGGACUUACUGAUUCACUGCAGGGUCUAUCCAGUCCUGAGGUAAUCCAGUGUACUUUUUUUUCACUGUUCUCUUUUUGUGCUGUUAUUGUGAUUGCUAUCUCUACAUAUUAUCUAUUUGUGUGUCAAUAGCUUUACAGAACUAUAUCUUUUUCAAAACCAAGAGUCAUUGAUUAAGUUAUAUCUUUCUUAAUUGGUUAUAAUUUCAAUGAAGUUGGCUAUUGGUCUUGUGAGUUGGUUUUCUUUUGGUUGUGUUAAUCUUUAUGAACUUAUCUCCUAUGCAGUCCAUCUGCUGACCCUUUAACAACUAUUUUGCAUAACAAUGAAGUCGCUAUACUUGUACUAGUUGCAGUUGUCUGCACAACUUGAUCUGAUGACAUCUAUGAAUAUAGUGGAGUUUCCUUUACUAAUCACUGUAGAUGAGCUUGAUGGUUAUCUUGCAUUUUCAUUUGUGUAGGUUAAAAGUGUUGUUGACUGGCGUGAUUUCUAUUUCAAAACUUACAUGUAAGUAAUGCAUAUCAAUGCACUUUUAAAUUUACAUUUUGGCAGGAAAUACUAUCUCCCCUUGGUGCAUCUCCCUCCCUUCAAUGAGCCUUUCCUUUCAUAAUUUUGUAUAGCUUUCCCUUGUCUAAACUUGACGAGGGCUUCAGGGAAGAGAUGUUCUCAGUAGAUAUAGGAUUUGGGGCUCCAUAAAAAUGACACAGUUAUAUAGUAAAGCAUCUGGUAAAAAAGAUCUGAAUUCUGCUUUAAGCGAAAGUUCAUUGCAACUGCAAUAAUCUACUGUCUUUUUGUACAUUAGUACCAGACAUCUAACGCUGCUUCUCAUACUGUGGUCGUGCGUGCAACAUAUUUUGUAUGAUUCUUCUCAUCCCCUAAUCAACCAUGAAUCUCUCCCAUCUGCAAACCAAGAUUCUUUUUCGCUUUCGUGUUCGAAUAAGAUAAGAUAUUCUAAAAGUAUUAGCCUUUCUGUAAAUCUUUUCAAGCUUGUUACUUGAUUGAGCCAAGUGUACUAGAAAAGUUCACCUGCAAUUUCUUGGAGGGUCCCUAGCAUUGUUUGCAAAAUCAGUUGAGCCAACUAUUUCCAGUCAUACAUACCUAAUCUGUCUGUGUACUGCCAGUCAUGAUCCCCCCCGCUUCCCCCCCCCCCCCCAAAAAAAAACCAAAUUCGGAAAAAGGUCUGAAAUGAUAGAAAACACUUAUUUCAACAUGUUUGCCCCCAGCACGCUUUUUCUAUAUCGUGAGGAGUGAAAAAUGAUUCUGAGUUAAAAAAGUAAGAAUUAAGGACUCGAAGAUUGUGAAUAUGGAUUUUGAAAAAAAUUGGCUGUCUCACUAGGAUUGUUGAUAACUCCUAUUUGAAAAGUUUUGGUUCAUAGGACUAAGGACAUUAAAGAUAGUUGGUAACUAAGAUGUCCUCUUACUAGAUAUGAGGAAUUUCUGUCAGAAACCUAUAUGGACCACCAAAACUCCCAGAGGAAUUGAUUAUUUUACAUGGAAUGCAGCGAGGGAUAGCCAGAUUACUAAAAUAGAUAGUGGAAUAAAAUAUACCUUUUGGAUAUUUUAUUAUGUGUAAUAAGACAGGGGAAGCACAUAUUACCACGUAACUCUAAGAUGGCAGCCUAUUGUUGAAAUUUGGUGUUUAUUCUGCUUGGGAUAUAAUAACUAUGAGAGCCUACUCAAUGGCUGGGAGCUUAAAAGUCAAGCCGAGUGCAGGAAUAUAUAGUUUAUAGUCCAUGCAUCAUUUAUGAGGACCAUCUAGAGGAAUCAGAAUAGACAGGAAGUGAACAAUAUUGAGAAUCCAUGACUGAUAUUAGAAACUUUGCUCUCCCUUCUCCCUUUGUAAAAAAUUUGGAUGUCUUUCCAAGAAUUGUUUCCAAUUUCCUUGGACAGAAAAUUUGUUAUUUAAAAUAUUCAGUCCAUUUAAACAUCUUGUCUCAUGCACAAAAAGAUGUAGUGGUCUGUGUUCCUACCUUUGCUGUUUGUUCUGUUAAUUCAUCUGAAAGAGAAUAUUGUUGCUCUUUCUUCAAGGUAGACUAAGGAUGGUUCAUUUUCAGAGAAAAGCAUUUAGAGAGUACUAUCAUUCCAGAUAAUACUAAAAAAAAUGCUUGAUGAAUGCACCAUCAUAGUGAUGAUGUUUAAGGUGAAAUUAGUCAUUCCCUCAUCAGGAUCUUUAAAUUGACUUGUUGCAUUUAGAGUAAGAUAUUUUUGAUAAUGGUAUGCAUCCUUUUAGUUUCCUUUAUAUAUAAAGCUAAGGUAACUCUUGAUUUUAGAUGAAACCUUUGGAGAGAAGUGCUAAAAGCAUGGUAUUCAUCAAAGUUGGACUGAAUGCUGCAAUGCACCUUUAGUAAAAAUAUAAUGGUUAGAUUGGAUUGGGACUGUUAUAUAAACUAUGAUUCAGGGAAGCAUGUUAAUCCAGCUGGUAGGUGCUUCAAAGGAUUUAGUAUCUCAGGCAUCAUUCAUGUGUUCAUAAAAUUGAGGUUUCUAUUGUAUAGCAGUAAGACCAUUUGUGCAUGGUGUAAAGAGUAGUCUGUUACCUCAAUAACAACUUAAAGAUGAUUGUUUAUCAGGAUGUUAAGGUGGAUGUGUGCUAUAACAAGUAUGGCAUUUUUGUGCUAAGGUAACUACAUAAAAGUAACUAAACAAUUAGAUAGGAUGAAAGAAUACCGUUCAAUACUUUAGUUACUACAAGGAGUAAGGAUUACCGUUAAAAAGUAAAAGAGUAGGAUUAGAUGUCUAGCCAAAGCCUGAGAGAAAGGUAAACAACAAUAACAUAAAAUUGAAUAGUUAAAAAGUGUUUGAUAGAAAUGUGAAUUCAAGAAAAUUAUGGACUUCAGAAGUGGAAGAACAAAAUCAGUAACCAACUUCUACAGUAAACAAGUUUGGCAAACAAGUUUUUGGCCAAGUUCUUGUGCUACAAGUUUUUUAACAACUUUAGCUACAGUAACCUCAAAAUAAUUCUUAAAGUUUUUAAACUAUACACUUCAAAAUAUCCAAAAAUUUACACACUUCAAAAAAUUUUCCUACAACUUCUACAGUAGGCUACAAUACAGUUUUAGACAAACACUCAAAAAACUCAUUUGCCAAAUGGGGUGGGCUCAAUUCUGCCAUAUAUGCAAACAUGAAGCAUUUAGCAUCUAUGUAGUUACCUGGUCUUCAAUGUGGUAAAACUUUUCAAAUCAAUUUGUCUUCUGAAUCAGAAUGGUUUGAUGGUCCAUCUUCUGGUUAUGGGUUUUGAGAAAGAGACAACAUUUGUUAGUUCUGGACUUGUUCCAGCAGGUAUUGGUAAGUAAUGCUAUGUUCAGUUGCCCAAUCUUCCCAAGUUUCUUCCUGUUAAUGAAAUUUCAAGAAGCAUAGGAUCAUAUGGUUCAAAAUGUUCAGAUCCUUGUAUUUGAUAACAUUCAUAAUUGUGGAGUUCUGCAAUGCUAGACAUUUCCAGCUUAUUGCCAUCUCUGGGUUUUUGGCUUAAAGACACGCACUAGCUUUUUGACAUCCAGUAUUUUUCUUUGAAGCUUGUUACGUCAUAUUUCAUCAGCCUUUGCUUUACCAUUGCCAGAUAUGUUGGUAAGUUGGACGGUCGCUACUAUGAUUCCAAGGGCAACCCUACUAAGUACUUAAAAGGGGUAGAAGCAAAGGCAGCUAGAGGAGCACAGUUAUUGGAAAAACAAAAGGAUGAAGAAGCUAAAGUGCCUAGUUGCAAUUCACGGUGGAGUCAGGAUGAGGGUUCAGAGGUGAGCUUUGCAUUCUUUUGUUUUGUAAUAUGUUUACAAAUUAAAGAAAAAGGUGGUAAAGAGAAGAAUAUGUCAGUUUAUCUCAUGUCCAAAUAGAUUACAUUUCUGUGAUGGAUAGUGCGGGUACUGUUACCAAGUAUAAGAUCUUACCCAGCAUAUAGAGAUACAACUUUCCAUCUUUGAUGAAGGAAAUAGGAAUAUUAUAAAAUGAGAAAUCAAGGCAAGAGUGAAAUGUUGGUCUUUGCUUUGUAGUUCAACAGAUUAACGUGUCUACUAUGUACUAAUAAAGGUUGCAUAUUCAUUUCACGCGUAGUGUGAUAUGAAACUAAGUGCAAGAGUAUUGAACUGUCAUGCAGGCAUCUACGGUUAAUGUUGUCGGCUAAUUCUUAGCUUCAAUCAUUCCUGUCAGGUUUGGUGUGAUGAUGGCUACCCGAGGCUAGUUCAGCGACCAAUAGAAAUAGCUUUGACUGGGAAAAUGAGCAAGCGCUGCGCAUGCUACAAAGAAGAUGAACUUGAACAGGCUGGAUUAGAAGUUUAUGAAGGAUGCGAUUUUUUUGCAAAGAAGUGUAGGAUAUAGAAACUGUAAAUUACUAUUCCUGAAAUGUUUGCCAUGUACUUUAAUGUAGUUUUAGAAGGGGAAUACGUCCCCAUAACAGAGAGAGAGAGAGAGAGAGAGAGAGAGAGAGAGCUGUUCUGCUUAUUGAGAAUUGAGAUGCAGCUUUGGGAAUUUGGAUAUUCUUAUUGAGAAUUGAGAUGCAGCUUUGGGAAUUUGGAUAUUCUUGUACCUGUUUUACAGUUGAUGCCUUUGGCAUUGUAAUAUUGGUUUGGUUUAUUAAUGAGUUGAAAUUGCUGCUCUUGACUAAGUUGUAAACGAACUGAGUUCUGGUGGCUUGACAUUUUUUAUACUUGUCGUCAAGUUUUUAAGUGUAAAUUGUCAUUUCGUUUUCGUCAAUAUUUAAAAAAAAAUCUUGAAGAUUUGUGCUCUAGUAGUAGUAGAUUCUUAGUUGCUUGUUUCACAUUUAUCAGUAGUAAUAGGGUCGCCAAUUUGCUCUUUUGUUUGCUGGGGUUUCAACAUCAUAGUCUGGAGUUACUAUAAUGAAAUCCAGAAACAGAUCUUGGAUUCUAGGCUCUCAAAUGGACUAGCAUUCUAUUUUGAAGAUUCCUUUGAUUGAUUUAGCACAAAGGAUCUUCUGUCCCACUUUUUCUUAUCCUAAUAUCUAUUAAAUUGUCACGUAUUUUUCAUAAAACAUUCUAUUUUAAAUCUUUUUCUCAUCCUUUUAAGUUCUGACAAUUACUUUCAAGGUAGAAUACAAAAAAUAAAAGACUAAAUAACAAUAUAUAAUAGAAAAAUAAAAAAUAACAGAAAAUUCAUUCAAAGCCCAUUUUUUGGUUAAAUUUUGCUCUUUUUUUGGCCGAAUACAUAACUCUAUACUAAGGAGAGGAGGAACCUGAAAAAAUUCAAGAACAAUCCGAAAGGGACUGAACCACCACCAACUCAAAUGGGGACCUGAAGAGGUUUAAGGACAACUCGAAAGGGACUGAACCAUCAUUAAUCCCAACGGACAUCCGUUGACAACAUUUCCAGAGAAACUUGGAUUUUUUUAGAAUGUAGGCAAGGAGAUUUAAUCCCUUACCUUACACCGAAGUAAAGUUUUAAAACUCUCUUGGUGGCCAACUACUUUAAACACUACUUUAGAAGUUUAAAGUAGUUGGUUGUAAUCUUUUAUAUUUUACUCCGUUAGUAGUUUUAGAACUUAAACUGAUAAGAAAAGAAAUUAAAAUGAGAUAUUUAAGAAGGAUAAAUAGCAAUUUAAUAAAUGUUAGUACAGGAAAUGAUACAAAAAAAAAAAAAAAACACAAGAUUCUUUGCCGAGUCAGUUGCUACGCUAGACAAACCGAUAAAACUAACUCCACCUUCCCGCCAACUUCCCAUCUCUUUCAGGAUUCCACAGCUCUCCCUCACAAUGAGAAUCCUUCAAGACUUGACCUGCAACAACCCAACUAUAAUCCGAUAUCACCAUUUCCCACUUUCUUUCACCCUAUUCAACUCUCCAUCCUCUGCUCGCACCAUCAUCCAGACCCGGUGGAAGAAAAAACCCGCCAACACUGCCCAAACCCGCCUCCAUGCCCGUACUCGGGACCCCAAAUUGGACCCUCUCACAGCCCAUUUUGUCAGGCUCAGCCGCAUCCUCAACCUUCACCGUCUCGUUUCAGCCCGAAAACGGGGACCCUUUGUCUCCCUUCAGCUCCUCUCCAGGUGGGCUCCGCACGUUGGCCUCGAUACAAUCCCUGUUGGAGCGUUUCUCCGGAAAUACCCCCAUGUGUUCGAUGUAUUUACUCACCCGAUUCUGAGAAAUGUGUGUUUUAAAUUUAGGCAGGAAUUUGUGGAAUUGUUGAAGGAAGAGAACGAUGUUAUACGUGGACUUGAAUUUGAGAGUGUGAUGAGAAUAAAGAAGAUUUUGAUGAUGUCUGUUAAUGGCAGUAUUCAUUUGCAUGCUCUUAGAUUGGCUAGGAAAGAAUUGGGAUUACCUGAAGAUUUUCGUGAAUCGAUAAUUCAGAAGUAUGAUCAUGUUUUUAGGAUGGUAAAUUUAGAGGUUGUUGAAUUGGUAAGGGGAAUUAGUUACAAUUCUGGUCCUGAUGAUAGUGACGAAAAUGAGAGGUUCAUAGGAGUGGCCGAGGUUGAAAAGUGGAGGGAGAAAGAGUAUAGGGAGAAGUGGUUGAGUGAAUUUGAGGUUAAGUAUGCAUUUCCGAUGAAUUUUCCUACAGGGUUUAAAAAAGAAGCUGGGUUUAAGGAUAAGCUAAGGAACUGGCAAAGGCUUAAUUAUGUGAAGCCAUAUGAGAAAAAGGAGGUGGUUCGGGUGCAGACUUGUGGUGGGGUUGAGCGGUAUGAGAAGCGGGCUGUGGCAAUUAUUCAUGAGUUAUUGUGUUUGACAGUGGAGAAAAUGGUGGAUGUUCAACAUUUGGUACAUUUUAGGAAGGAUCUUGGGAUUGAGGUCAAUUUACGUGAGCUUGUUUUGAAGCACCCGGGGAUAUUUUACAUGUCUACUAAAGGAGAUACGCAAAUGGUUUUCCUUAGGGAAGCUUAUAGUAAAGGAUGCUUGGUUGAGCCAAAUCCAAUAUACGAUGUGAGGAGGAAGAUGUUGGAUCUUAUUCUGUUAGGACCUCGUUGUACCCGACGACUCAGGACUGAAUGGGAAGUCAGUAAUCAGGGACAGGACGUAAUUUGCACUGAGAGCAGAAGGAAAGUCAGUGAUGAGGAACAGGACAUAAGUUGCAUUGAGAGACAAGGAGAGGCAAAAGAUGGUGAUUUUGUCAUUCCAAUUUUGGAAGAUUUUGCAGACUGCAGUCAUCAGAACGGACACCAAUGAUUUCACUGAUGUAGUCAACAAAGAGCCAAUUAGGCAGCAAGAGAAGGAAAUGAAUUGGAAAGACAGGUACUGACAGGCAAGUCGGAUUUAGUAUGUGAGUUUUUACCUAAUCAAUUGCCAAGUGGGGCUUCUCCUCCAUAAUUUUACGUGAGGGUUAUUGCCCUUUGCCAUAUGUCGUGACGGCUGCUAAGAAUCUAUCUGACAGUGGUGGGUGCCAUUAUACUUGACCUUCCUUGCUUAUUCCACACCUCUUUUUAUGUUUUAGCAUCCUACUUUAUAUGCAUUUUUUUUCCUUGAGCAUGUCUUGAUCUUUGUAAUUUAUCACUUUGUAAGAUCCCAUGCUUUUGUGAGAGUGACAUAAUUCCAGUGUUUAAUCCUGGAAAGGGAACAAAAUAAUAGCAGUGCAGAGAAUAUAAUCUUCUUGUUCGUGGUUCCUGAAUGGCAAACAAAUUUUUUCACAGUAUUUAGCUUUACACCUUCUGCCAUUUGGAUGACCUUCUUCCUAUUUAAUGAUUGUUAUCCACUUGCUAGAUGAAAUAAAAAUUUCACCUCCUUCCUAUUGAGCAUUAACUGAUCAAAUUUGGGGAAAGAGUGGGUUGAAUAUUCAAGAUUAGAAAUUGCUCUUUUCAAAUAUUUGACCAAUGAUAGCUUCAAGUUUUUACCAUCCCAUUCAUCUGAAUCACUGUGGUUAAAUGCAUUUGAUGGUUCUUAAUUCAGAAACAUUUACUCAUUUAUCCAGAAAUGUCUGGGAUGGUGGUCAUUCUGGUGGCUGAAAAUCUUUUGGAUGGAUGGUCCUUCCUUUUCUUUCUUUCAUUUUCUUCUUUCUAUACUCUGUGUCACUUUCCAUGUGUUUAGGCCUCGAGGUAAGUCUUUUUUCUCCGUGUCCUCAUUUCUCUUUCAUAUUUCCCCUCCAUUCCUGUCUGUUUCAUAAUUUUUUACUCUGCUUGCUCUUUCCUUUCUUAUUUUAGAUGUUAGUAUGUGCCAAGUAUUCUGUCUAUUGUCUGAUCUAUUUGUGCAUUUUCCUUUAACAUUAGCAAGUAAAUACUUGACAUGCUUAUAUACCUUUUUAUUAUCAUUUUUGCAGGACAAAAUGGCAGGGUUGCUGUCAGUGAACGAGCUAGUUUUUAACUUUACAGAAGGUUAAAUCAACUAUUGCCUAUCGUAGUGUCACUGGAAAAGCUUUACCGAAGGUUGAGUCAAACUAUUGCCUAUACUAACGUCACUGGAAAGCUAAGGGCAUUGAUGGGGGCUGUCGUGUUGGCUUUCUGAAACUUAUUUGGUUGGCUAGAUCGCAUCCUGAAUUUGUUCAGAUUGGUCGAGCUUGAUAUGGCUACUGAAGGCUAAUUUCAGGACAGUUAGGAAAAUCUGAGUAUGGGCUGCGCGUAUGCUAGAAAGAACUUAAGCAGGCGGGAUCAAAGGUCAACCGUUUGAGGAGGAUAUGUUAAUUUUGCAAAGAAGUGCAUAUUGGAAGUGGUAAAUUACUUGACCUUUUGGCACAACAAGUUUUUAAGGAUUUGACAGUGAGAGAAGGGGGUGACGAAUGCUGUUUUGUCUACGGCUUCGGUGAUUGCUGAUUGCUCUCAACUGUGGUUCUCAAAUUCCUGACUAUAAAAGGGGUUACCUUCAAAGAAUGUGCCUUGAGGAGCCAGGAAGCUAAGCGCAUGCUGUAUUAGUGCAAGUUCAACCAUCACAGAUGAGGAUGCACCGUACAAUUACCACAUUUGGGUGCUUCGAUGGUGCUAAGAACAUCAAGCUCCAUUAUUCUAUUAGAAGUAGCACAAGCCACUUUGGAAACUGUCACCAUCUGUGUGAUUAGUUUUCUAAAUCUUUUUUCCCAUAUGAACUGCAGAUACAAUCACUUUUCAGUGAAAAACAUAUCUACCUUGCAUUACCGUUUUUGGUAACUGCAGUUGCACUUCUACAAUUUACGUAAUUGAUUUUUACAAAAUUAUAUUACCUUGCUGGAGUGGGAAUGGCAACGGGGCGGAUUUGGGGGGAGGACCCCUCCCCCGUUCCCUUGCAACCCCCGCCUCCGUCCUCUUGCCAAAAAAUUCCUCCCAUCCCCAUCCCACUUCCCCCGUGGGUGGUAAUUUGAUUUUUUUUUUUUCUAGAAGUUUUUAUGCAAUAUAUCAAAACUGAAUUCAAAAAAUAAAAUAAGAUACGGAGUUGAAAAAAAUAAAACAAGAAAAGUGUUGACAUAAAAUACUAAAAAAAUUAAGAAACUCAAUUAGAUUGUAUGGAUACCAUUUUGAAAUGCUCAUAGAAUGCAUAACAUGUUUGUGUCCAAUAUCGACUAAAAAUUUAGAUAGAAAUGGAAUAAAAGUUAUGUUUAGUUGUCAAAUAUUUUAAAUUUAUUAUUAUUAGAUUAUAUAAUAUAAUAUAAUUUAUUUAUUUAUAUUAAUAAAUUGAAGCGGAGGACAGAGCGAGGGAUGGGACAAGGGACAAUCAAAUUAAAAUGGGGAGAGAAAAAUUGCCCCCAUCUCUGCCCCAGCCCCAUUACUCCCCCGCGGGCACCACCUGCCCCAUUGCCAUCCUUAUGUUGAAGGGACCUUUCAGAAUUAGGUGGUUUAUCACUCAUUAUGAUGUAUAUCAAAUGCUAGCUAAGGAAACUUCCCUAAACAUGUUUGCCCUCAAGCAUCAUUUCAUACAUGAAUUCUGUUGAUGUAAAUCCCUAUACGGGCAAGAGAGAGAGAGAAUAAUUACGAAUGUUAAGCCCUUACGAGAUACCAAAUCUUUUACCAAACUGUACCAGAAAACAUUACAAGAUGGGACACAAGUAGCAAAAUCAGAAUCAUAAGCUACGCAGCAGUGGUCAAAAUUACCAACUAAAUCAAAUGGUAAGCUGCAAAGACGACAAGUACACACUACAUAGAUUGUGCUACAUGUAAAUUCUUUUACUUCAUACAAAUGCCACACUGUCUCCUAAGAAGAAUCCUCCA